This is a non-coding RNA of Pelobates cultripes (western spadefoot toad), 281 nucleotides long. The record is from the annotation of a GenBank genome assembly. NCBI's taxonomy places the organism in Eukaryota, Metazoa, Chordata, Amphibia, Anura, Pelobatidae.
GAGGGAAACAGGGAGGGAAAAUAUUUGCCUCCUGUCAUUAUUAAAAUUAAGAUUAUAGGUACACUACGUUAGCAUAAUCUACAAUUUUAUCACAUGACAGGAGGCUUCAUAUUUUGCAUUUUUAAAGCUGUGGUAUGAGCGAGAAGGAUGCGUGUGUGGUUGACGAAAAUAAAUAUACAGAAGUAGUCUAUCCGUGUCCAAUUCGUCGCUGAAAAUAUAGAGGCCCCCUCGUGAAGGCCUGAGAAGCAGCCGCGCCUCUUACCGAAUGAGUACCCAAACAC